This 408-nucleotide RNase P RNA is filed under the name Paracoccaceae bacterium. RNAcentral describes it as "Rhodobacteraceae bacterium (sponge metagenome) RNase P RNA component class A". It matches the Rfam family "Bacterial RNase P class A". From Rfam's summary of the family: Ribonuclease P (RNase P) is a ubiquitous endoribonuclease, found in archaea, bacteria and eukarya as well as chloroplasts and mitochondria. Its best characterised activity is the generation of mature 5'-ends of tRNAs by cleaving the 5'-leader elements of precursor-tRNAs. The record is from RNAcentral. Lineage: Bacteria; Pseudomonadati; Pseudomonadota; Alphaproteobacteria; Rhodobacterales; Paracoccaceae.
GCGGAGGGUCGGAUGAUCGCCUGUGGCGCAGCCUUCGGGCCACGCUGCGGGAGGAAAGUCCGGACUCCACAAAAGCAAGGGUGCCGGGUAACGCCCGGCCGGGGUAACCCGAGGGAUAGCGCCACAGAAAACAGACAGCCCCGUUCAGGCGGGGCAAUGGUGAAACGGUGGGGUAAGGCCCACCGCGGGACGGGCAACCGCCCCGGCAUGGCAAGCCCCACCCGGAGCAAUGCCAAAUAGGGACCCCGCGCCUGAUGCCUGCAAAGGCAGAAGGCAGGGCGGCUUUGGCCCCAGGAGGUCCGGGUUGGCAGCUAGAUCGCAGUGGUAACGCUGCGGCCAGAGGAAUGGUCAUCGACUGUCGGGGCAACCCGGCAGGAACAGAAUCCGGCUUACAGACCCUCCGCGCGC